CCUACGGGUGGCAGCAGUGAGGAAUAUUGGUCAAUGGACGAGAGUCUGAACCAGCCAAGUAGCGUGAAGGAUGACUGCCCUCUGGGUUGUAAACUUCUUUUAUAUGGGAAUAAAAUGUUCCACGUGUGGGAUUUUGUAUGUACCAUAUGAAUAAGGAUCGGCUAACUCCGUGCCAGCAGCCGCGGUAAUACGGAGGAUCCGAGCGUUAUCCGGAUUUAUUGGGUUUAAAGGGAGCGUAGGUGGAUUGUUAAGUCAGUUGUGAAAGUUUGCGGCUCAACCGUAAAAUUGCAGUUGAAACUGGCAGUCUUGAGUACAGUAGAGGUGGGCGGAAUGCGUGGUGUAGCGGUGAAAUGCUUAGAUAUCACGAAGAACUCCGAUUGCGAAGGCAGUUCACUGGACUGCAACUGACACUGAGGCUCGAAAGUGUGGGUAUCAAACAGGAUUAGAUACCCUUGUAGUC
This 460-nucleotide ribosomal RNA is filed under the name uncultured bacterium. RNAcentral describes it as "partial 16S ribosomal RNA". It matches the Rfam family "Bacterial small subunit ribosomal RNA", at positions 338 to 795 of the family's 1533-position model. The record is from RNAcentral.